This 672-nucleotide long non-coding RNA is filed under the name Sorghum bicolor (sorghum). Its description in RNAcentral is "long non-coding RNA (SBIC_LNC010812)". Lineage: Eukaryota; Viridiplantae; Streptophyta; Magnoliopsida; Poales; Poaceae. The record is from RNAcentral.
GCAAGCUAAAAGAACUCCGACCCAGGGUCUUCCCCUUUUCUCUUAAAAAGAUUUAAGAAACCGGAAACUCGCCCCACAAAUCUUAAGGCAUGAGCUCUAGGAAAAGUCAGCGCUCACGAGCAAAGACCGCUCCUACUCACCUUAGAUUCGGGGGACGGAUUCGGACUUCUAAAAACUACUAAGGGAAAAAGGAAAAGGACUUAGGCUCGGGGUCUCUGGCUAUCGCAAGUAGCUUACCCGACCUCGCGCUGCCGAGGUCGGAUCGGCAUGAGGAAAAAAGAAAACAGGACAUUUAAGAAAAAAGCUUAAAAAGAGCAAUUACACAAAUAUCUACAUUCAACAUUAACAUUGUAUAAUACAAGGCCUACUGGCCUCAACACCCACAAAAAGAAAAAAGAAAACUAAGAACCCUACUGCCCUGUCUGCCCAGGUCCUUGAGCCCCGAGGGGAGGAAGCUCCACCUCAUCAUCGAAGAAGGCGGCCAAGCCGUCUCCAGGGACAGUCGCGGCGUUCUCAAACCUCUGCACCUCCUCCUGGGCCUCAGUCUCGUCAUCCGAGAGAACGUAGCCCUCACAGACUGCCGGCAAGUCAAUGCCGGCAUAGUGAGAGCUCACCACCACCAGGGCUUUCUUCACCCCGGUGUGGAGCGCCUCCCUCAUCCUCUCCUCGGCC